Molecule: ribosomal RNA, 481 nt
Filed under: uncultured bacterium
Lineage: Bacteria
Description: partial 16S ribosomal RNA
Rfam family: Bacterial small subunit ribosomal RNA
Source: RNAcentral
GAUGAACGCUGGCGGCGUGCUUAACACAUGCAAGUCGAACGAAGCAUUUAAGACAGAUUACUUCGGUUUGAAGUCUUUUAUGACUGAGUGGCGGACGGGUGGGUAACGCGUGGGUAACCUGCCUCAUACAGGGGGAUAGCAGCUGGAAACGGCUGGUAAUACCGCAUAAGCGCACAGUACCACAUGGUACAGUGUGAAAACCUCCGGUGGUAUGAGAUGGACCCGCGUCUGAUUAGCUUGUUGGCGGGGUAACGGCCCACCAAGGCGACGAUCAGUAGCCGACCUGAGAGGGUGACCGGCCACAUUGGGACUGAGACACGGCCCAGACUCCUACGGGAGGCAGCAGUGGGGAAUAUUGCACAAUGGAGGAAACUCUGAUGCAGCGACGCCGCGUGAGUGAAGAAGUAGUUCGCUAUGUAAAGCUCUAUCAGCAGGGAAGAUAGUGACGGUACCUGACUAAGAAGCUCCGGCUAAAUACGUG